GCAUGUGCGCGAGUCAUUGGGACUCUGUUAAACCUAAAGGCGCAAUGAAAGUAAAGGUCCGCCUCGCGCGGACCGAGGGAGGAUGGGCCCGUCCCCGGGCGGGCCCCGCACUCCCGGGGCGUCUCGUUCUCAUCGCGAGAAGAGGCGCACCCAGAGCGUACACGCUGGGACCCGAAAGAUGGUGAACUAUGCCUGGUCAGGACGAAGUCAGGGGAAACCCUGAUGGAGGUCCGUAGCGAUUCUGACGUGCAAAUCGAUCGUCGGAACUGG
RNAcentral lists this ribosomal RNA (270 nucleotides) under Apotolamprus pseudoquadrimaculatus. RNAcentral describes it as "partial 28S ribosomal RNA". It matches the Rfam family "Eukaryotic large subunit ribosomal RNA", at positions 678 to 914 of the family's 3401-position model. The record is from RNAcentral. Lineage: Eukaryota; Metazoa; Arthropoda; Insecta; Coleoptera; Scarabaeidae.